This is a long non-coding RNA of Daphnia magna, 308 nucleotides long. RefSeq lists it as uncharacterized. The transcript has 2 exons. Lineage: Eukaryota; Metazoa; Arthropoda; Branchiopoda; Diplostraca; Daphniidae. The record is from RefSeq and is a predicted model, not a curated record.
UCUGACAAGGCCGCCAAUGUUCACGGAGCUCCGCUAUUUAAAGGCUCCCGCGUGCUUACGUGUGGGCCAAUCAGCAGGUGUUCUGCCAACAUUCUCGCCCAAAAGAAAAAAGAAAAGAAAACGAAAAAAGUAUUUUGUUCAGCGGUUGGAACGUACGGGAUUUUUUCAUCGGCAAAAAAUAAGAAACAGAUGACUUAUGGACCUGUAAACUUAAAAAAAUUCUAAUAAAAAACCUAAUAUGGAAUUUUGAAAAAAAAAAAAAAAGGAGUGUAUUCAGUUCAUGCGUCCAAUACAACCACCAAAACACA